Molecule: ribosomal RNA, 497 nt
Filed under: uncultured bacterium
Lineage: Bacteria
Description: partial 16S ribosomal RNA
Rfam family: Bacterial small subunit ribosomal RNA
Source: RNAcentral
GACGAACGCUGGCGGCGUGCCUAAUACAUGCAAGUUGAGCGCUGAAGGUUGGUACUUGUACCAACUGGAUGAGCAGCGAACGGGUGAGUAACGCGUGGGGAAUCUGCCUUUGAGCGGGGGACAACAUUUGGAAACGAAUGCUAAUACCGCAUAAAAACUUUAAACACAAGUUUUAAGUUUGAAAGAUGCAAUUGCAUCACUCAAAGAUGAUCCCGCGUUGUAUUAGCUAGUUGGUGAGGUAAAGGCUCACCAAGGCGAUGAUACAUAGCCGACCUGAGAGGGUGAUCGGCCACAUUGGGACUGAGACACGGCCCAAACUCCUACGGGAGGCAGCAGUAGGGAAUCUUCGGCAAUGGACGAAAGUCUGACCGAGCAACGCCGCGUGAGUGAAGAAGGGUUUCGGAUCGUAAAACUCGGUUGGUAGAGAAGAACGUUGGUGAGAGUGGAAAGCUCAUCAAGUGACGGUAACUACACAGAAAGAGACGGCUAACUACGUG